RNAcentral lists this long non-coding RNA (636 nucleotides) under Athene cunicularia (burrowing owl). RNAcentral describes it as "lncRNA (ENSACUG00000001946.1)". Lineage: Eukaryota; Metazoa; Chordata; Aves; Strigiformes; Strigidae. The record is from RNAcentral.
UACACAUGUACCAGUUUCCAAGAGCUUAACUACAGUGGACAACAGAACGCCAGAGAAAUCCUCUGUUUGGCUGGAAAGCUCCCUGAUAUUUAAAGAAAAGUCUGCAGAGGGAGUACCUGGGGAAAGCAACCUGGUUGAAUCAAGUUCUCAGAACUCACCUUCACAGGAACCUGAGAUCAGGCCACUGCAGGACUUGACCAAUGCCAGGACUGUGGCUUCCUCCAGCUUGGAAGAAGUGACAGGAUACUUACCCAGGCGGAGACGGGACCCAGCCUGCUACGCAGAGCCAAAACUCAACAGGAAACUGAGGCGGGGUGACCCGUUCACAAACACCGAGUUCCUCCGCUCCCCUCUCUACAAAACCAAAAAGAAGAAAACUGCCCAAGCCAAGGAAACGACCAAUAAGUUCGAAGAGGAAAAAGAAUGGCUUCCUGAAGGAUGUCCCCGUGCCAAGGCAGGCGAGCUAGUAACAAUGAGAAGAGACAUGGAGCCAGAAUUAAAUAGUGGUUGAACAGGCAGCCCACAAGCUUUUAGGGGCUUGAGUGUCUUUGCUAGAAUAUCUCUAAUGUUUUGCAUAGGUUAUUUUUUAUUUUAAUUUUGAAGUAUAAAUAAAGUCUCCUAUGUGGAUGUUAUACA